CCAUCCAUCCAUCCAUCCAUCCAUCCGUCCAUCCAUCCAUCCAUCCAAAUGGAUGCCCAGUGAUAUCAACUAUUUCCCUAAUCCCUAAGAACAGAAGGAGACGGUCCUGGCCAAGGUGCUUAGCCAAUGCGAUUACAACCCCACUCGGGAAAGAGGCCAAUUGUGAGACGUGCUGAAGGGCCAGGGAGGGAGGCUGUAGAGGAUGCUAAGGGCAAGGGAGCCAGAGGCAUCACGAGGGGCACUGCGUCUUCUAAGAGGGGCAUGCUGGGAGAACUAGUGUCCCAUUCUUCGGGAUGCAGAUCUCACUCGGGAACAGCGCCUUGCAGAAAUGGCUAUGUUAGAACAAGAUCACUUGCUGGGUCCUGAUUCAGAAUGGCUAGCAGCCUUAGAAACCCCUUAGACAAUUGAGUGGCUGGAGCAACGGCUUAGCAGUUAGGAGCUGCUCCUCCUGAGGGCCUGUGUUCGAUUCCCAGCACCCACCACUGUCAGUAACUCCAAUUCCAGGGGAUGCUACACCCUCUCUGGCUUCAGAAUUUCAAACACAGCAUCUGAUGCAGACCUAGAUGGACACUCGGAGGCAUGAUGAGGGAGACAGGGGAGAAACACCAUGUGAAGGCGGUAGAACGCCCACGAUUGCCGGGCAGACUCAGAGGAAAGAGGCCCUGGGCAGGACCAACGCCCCUACAACCUUGCUCCUGGGUGACCAGCUUUCAGAACUGACCGUGAGGCAACAGAGUUCUGAUACCUGAAGCCACCAGUUUGCGGUGCCUUGCUGUGUAGUAUAAAAGUGAAGGCCCCAGAGGUCAUACUGAUGGAUCAUCCUGGAUUAGCUAAGCACCAAGGAUGGGACUUACAAGUGUUCUCCGAGAAGAACAUGGGAUGCUGGAGACAAGGAGGAGGAAAGAAACCCCCCAUGUCCCCAACUUCUUCUUCUUCUUCUUUUUUUUUUUUUGGUUCUUUUUUUCGGAGCUGGGGACCGAACCCAGGGCCUUGUGCUUCCUAGGUAAGCGCUCUACCACUGAGCUAAAUCCCCAGCCCCCCCAACUUCUUCUUAACGAGAGAUUUAUUUUAGUUUUAAUUAUAUAUAUUUGUGUGGGGGUUGUGCAUCUAAGUGCAGGUGCCCUCGGAGACCAGAGGCAUUGGAUCCCUUGGAACUAAAGAGUACUGUGAGCGUCCUGACAUGUGUGCUGGCGACUAGACUUGGGUCCUCUGGAAGAUCAGCAAGCACUCUCAACCACUGAGCCAUCUCUCUAUCUCCUUCCUGUCCAAAGGUGUAAACAUUAAAUAUGCUAACACGCUUUUCUUUACCAAAUUUCCCAUUUUCCUUAUCUCUCUGCUUUACUUUUUGUUCUCUCUCUCUCCCUCUCUCUCUCUCCUCCUCUUUCUUUCUCUCUCCCUCCCUCUCCCCCCCCCACUGAACUGAUUACAGCAGUGAGCAAUAGUGUGAUACAACCUGAAUAUUCUCCUGUCUUGUAAUUUUUCUCUGCUAGACAAGUAAAUCCAUUACCUUUAAUACGUCCCAGGGCAUAGACAAAAUGCAAACAGAUUCUUUGCCAGAAAUAGGAGUAGUUACAUAAACACUUCCAGACACCCCUCUUCCCUUCUGAGACCUCAAGAACCAGGCUUCCACUGUGUGUGUUUUUAUCAGCAUUCUUAUCUUCUAAUCACCCACCAGAAUGGUCCACUCAUGUUUGAAGUACAGUGAGGCUUUUGUAGCCUUACAGUUGCAAAUCUUCCCAUUAUUGUUUCUGUAAAUCAGUUAGAGACCUCAGAACCACAUGGACAGGUUUAUCACAGCAAUAACCCCACUCUUGGUACCAGGUUUCUGGAUUAGUUUCUUUCCUUGUUGCCUGAUAAAUAUCUCUUUUUUUCUCUUUUUUUCAGAGCUGGGGACCGGACCCAGGGCCUUGAGCUUGCUAGGCAAGCGCUCUACCACUGAGCUAAAUCCCCAACCCCCUGAUAAAUAUCUCUUAAGGACAGACUUAGGGAAGAGGGCUUAAUUUUGCUUACAGUUUAAGGGGGUACAGUCCAUCAUGGAGAGGAAAUCACAGCAGCAGAGGCUUGAGAUAGCUCAUCACAUUGCAUACAAGUCAGCAAAGAGAAACCAACAAAUACUGCUCAGCUGGCUUUUUACUUCUUAUGUAGCCCAGCGCUUGGGGUGGGCAUCCCACCUAAUUAACCUAGUGUAGAAAAUCUCUCACAGCCAAAGAUGUUUCCAGGGUGAUUCUAUAUUCAAUUGACAAUCAUAUUAAUCUACCACAGUGGACUGUCCCAUGCCCAAAGAGGCUCAGAAAGGCAGAUUUUAGUACUUAUUUUUAUGCAGAAAAUCAGGUACCAAAAUUGGGUGUUAUCUGUUGUGUGUAAUUUUUAAAAACACACUAUUGUCUUGGUCUGUGACCUCAGCACCCACUCUGACCCUCCUGGCUCUCCUUGCUCCGUCCAGCUUAGCCGGUGGAUGGCUCAAGCAUGAAAACCUUGAACAAAAACUCAGGGGCAGGGGGUCCUCAUCUUACAGAUAGAUUCCCUGCUAUAAACUAGAGAAAGACAAUAAAACCAAGGAUACUGCCUCCAAAACCAGACACAAGCUAGAUUAAAUAUAAAAAUACUUUAGAGAGGUUUUAAAAAAACCCUGCAAGAUCACUCAAAUUCUCCAAACAUGGGUUCCAUGAGAAUUCCAAGUUAAAUAUUGCUGGCAUGACAGAUUUUUUUUUAAAAAGCCUAAAAUUACACAAUAAACAAAAGAUAAUGUUUUAAAGAAAUUUAUAAAAAUCUUACAAGAUAACUCAAAUUCUUUGAACAUGGGCUCCACGAGAGUUUUGGGUUAAACAUUCCUGACAUGACAAAUAAAAAGUCUAAAAAUAGACUCAUACAGUAUUUGUUUAGUUUACUUUAUUUGUUUUAAAUUGUUUUAAUCACCAAAAUGGGUGUGAUUUUGAGUUUUGUGGUUAUAUUAUUAUUCCUCUGGGAGAGAGGUCAAACUAAAAGUUGUUCUGGUUGCUGGCUCAAGGACAUGCUAUUUUGGGAGAAAGGCUCUACAUCUGUGUUGACAGAAAAAAAGAGAUUAGGCUCUGGACCCCUUCCAGAGUUAUAUGGAUCAGAUAUGACAGGGGGAGACCCCUGAAGAACUAGAACAAUUCAAGAGACUCAAACAGGAAAGGUAAAGAUUCUUGGUGCCCUCCUUCAUGUGGCAUAAAUGAAGACUUAUGACUGGUUAUUAUUAAAAUUGGCUCAUCAAGAGGAGAGCUGCCUUUCACAUGCUCAAGCAAGGAGGAGAAUUUCACCCUUAACUAGUCUAUAGACCCUACACAGACUAGCAUGAUCCAUACAGAUAUCUUGAUGGCACUUACGUUUGUCUGAGAUUUCUGCACUGCAGAGUGUACAGCUUUGGUGAGAUUCUUCCUCAGACAUGCUGAACUGACCCGCCUGGACUCCCUAUGUCACAGAUCCCAGGUUAUCUUGCCUCAUUCAACCUUUAGAUGGAUCCAGCCAGCUCUUCAGUCAAGCCCUGAGCCUUCUAAGCAUCAGAGACUGAAUAACAAUCACUGGCUUGGCUUUCUUAAGGCCUAACCAAGUCUGCUAAUUGUUCUACCCAUCUCCUCCCCUUUAAAGAAUUCUUGUCACCCAUGUUCAGCCAGGAGAAGUUAUGGUGAGUCGUCAGCCCAGGUCCCCGUGCUUGGGGGUCUGGUAAUGGUUAUUUUACAAAUUAUAAAAAAGGUUGUCAUUCAAGGAAAAUUGAGAAUGGUCAUGAUUUUGAACGGGUAGGAAAUAGGUGGAGUUGCUUAUGUAACUAUAAUUUUAAUUGAUAAAAAUGUUUAUAAUUGAUACAGUUGAAAUUAUAUUUUCUUACACUGGCACUAAAUUUAUUUUGGUACAGAUUUAAGGUCUUCAUUGAUAAACAGUUCUUACAUUGAUACAAAAAUUGAGAUCACUAUUGUCACGCCUAGAUAGGCAUCACGCCUAUAUAAUACACUGAGAAAUAAGAGGCUUAGACACAGUCUUCUCAUGACUGCUAUUACGAACUGUUUUCAAACAAUCGAACAUGUGAGCUAAGGGUCAGAUAGAAAACUCAUGCUCAUGCUAGAGUCCUAAUUUAAUUACAAAAGGAUGCUUUCAAUAUACUUCAAUUAAAAGUAGCUGAAAGUAAUCGAAGUUCAGGUUACCAUGUAUAUAUAUAUAUAUAUACAUAUAUAUAUAUAUCUCAAUGUUAAAGAUCCACAAAGUAUGAUGUGUGUUAUUUAAUCAUUGGACAAUGAGACAUACCUACUCUGGGCAGCAACCCCUUCCCAGUUCAAAGGAGACAUUGAACAUCUUUACCUCCAGUCAAGGUCACUUAUCGUGGCAAGGCAGCCAUUGGGCCAAAAGUGCCCAUUUCAUCUGCAGACAAUACUGUCCAAAGAAGGACACAUUUUACAGGAUAACUGAUUGUUGGCUUUGCCGAGACAGGGUCAGUGGACCUUCAAAUAAUUCUACAUUAUAAGUCUGUCAGAUAGAUGAUCCUUAGCCAGAGGCCAAAGACGGAUGCUCCUAGAUACUGAAGAAUGGGGGACUGUCCAAGCAAUCAACUGUCUCUGCAAAUUGAUUAAAUUUCAGAAGCUGUGUUUCGUGCUUCCUAUGUUUUCAAGCAAUAUUUAGUCAUUCUCAGACUUCUGAUGGGAUUAAAGACUAGUUUUAAUCUCAUAACCAAACUCAAGGCAUUUAACGUUGAUAGAGAGAGUUUAUAGAACAGAUGACAUGGUUUUCAGAUGACAUUACAGCUAAAAUGUAAACGUAAUCCAAGGACAGAAUCAUAAUUCUUUCAGUUAGGAAACAUGGUAGAGUACUUUGUCUAAUUGACAGGUUGAUAGAUUAAAUGUCCUUUGUACCUUAUACUAUAUAAUUUACUUAAUAAUUAUGGGUUUGUUCAAUUUAUAUCUGGGAGAAGAGGGUAUUAUUAUUAGUAGUAGUAGUAGUAAUAGUAGUAGUAAUAGUAGUAGUAGUAGUAGUAGUAGUAGUAGUAGUAGUAGUAGUAGUAUUGGGAGGUGCUGAUACUGAAGUCUGGUUCUCUAACUGGUUCUUGAUUUGAUCAAUAAAGAAGGAGGGAGUCAAUUGCUGGGCAAAGGGGACAGAUGGGACUUCCAGGCCCCAGGAGGAGAGGAGACACAGGGAAAGAGGCUUUUCAGUCAGGCCUUGGAAGGAAAAGCACGAAACCACCAUGUAAGAUCUUGGGGAAGAUAGAACUGGCAGCCUCCGCCACUGGCAGAUCGCCAAAGAGGUCGACAAAGACUGUCUGAUGCUGAUGAGGUUAGGACAAGAGAUUCGGUGCCCAGCAAUUAGGCUAUCUGGCAAGUUCUAAAAUAAUAAAGCUGUCUGAAUGUUUUCAUUCUCCUGAGCAAAGGUGGGUAGAGAUAGAAGCCGGGUCGGUGACAGUGGCUUGGCGAAGUUAAGCUGGGAGGAGCAAAGGGAACCCGGCGGGGCCAGAGCAAGGGCAGCAGCUCUUGGGUCGAGGUAGAUGGCAAAGCUAGCCCGGAGCAACAAAAGAGAAGCCGACAGGGAGCUGGUGGAGCUCAGACAGCAGCUCACGUUUGCGAUCGAUCCUGGGCUAAGCCGGAUGGAGCAAAGGGAACUGGGAGAGGUCAGACUGCAGGCCUAGGUCACAGACAGACAAUAGCCUGUUUUUUUUUUUUUUUUUAAAUUACACGCAGCAGACUAAGCCAUGACUGCUCUGCUCUUUCUAAUGACAUUUAUCCCCUUAUAAAAGAGGUCAAAGGUUGACUUUGUAUCCUGCCCACUGAAAUCACUUAUCUUUUCUAGAAGUUUUCUAGUAGAAUUUUGGGAGUCUCUUGUGGUAUUCUGUCAUAUCAACCUCAAACAUGGGUAAUUUGACUUCUUCUAUUUGUGCCUGUUUAAUUUCCAUUUCUUAUCUUACUGCUUUAUCUAGUGCUUCAAGCACCACAUUGAAAAAGAGUGAGGAUCAUGGACAACCUCCUCUUGUUCCUGAUUUUGAGGUCAAUUCUUUAUUUUUUGAUUUAUUUUAUGUAUAUGGUACAUUGUAACUGUCUUCAGACACAGCACAAGAGGGCAUUGGAUGGUUGUGAGCCACCAUGUGGCUGCUGGGAUUUGAACUCAGGACCCCUGGAAGAGCAGUCAAUGCUCUUAACCACUGAGCCAGCUCUCCAGCCCUUGUUCCUGAUUUUAAUGGGCUUGGUUCUAGUUCAUUUUUUCCCCCAACAGGCUCUUGUUGUGUAGUCUAGGCUGGCCCUGAACUCUUCAUCCUCCUGAGUGAUAUAAUUGUAGGCAUGUAUCUCCUUCCUGGCUUUCAGUUCUCGUUUAAUAGUCAUGUUGUAGGUAACUGGAUUUUACUCUGAAGUGUGAAACAAUGAGACAGAGAGAACCUUCCUAGUGUUUAGGAAAUGAUACUCAUCACCAGGAGCCUCCUCCUGUGGCUAGUAUCAGCAUCUACACCUACCUACACAUACCUACCACAACCCUCCAGGAGCAGACACACUCAGAAUGCCACCAGGGAAACUACAGCAUAUUAACAUGUGUGCACAUGCACGUGCGGACACACACACACACACACAUACACACCCUCACACACACUCUCUAUCACACACACACAUACUCUCACACACACACACAUAUACACACCCUUACACACAUUCUCUAUCACACACACAUACACAUUCUCUCACACAUACACACAUACUCACACUCAUACUCCCAUAUACUCUCACACACUCAGACAUACACAUACUCAUACACACUCAACUUUCACAAACACACAUACUUACACACACAGACACACAGACACACAGACACACAGACACACACACACACACACACUCCUUGCUAUCUAGCUGAGGAUGACCUUGUACUCCUGAUCUUCCUGUCCCCAUGUCUUAAGUGAUGGUGCUAGAACUCUAGGCUUCAUUGGCCAUGCUCAGCUUAGUGGCUUAAUGGUUUUUUCCACUCUGGAGAUGGAACGUAGGGUCUCUCACAUGUUGUUAAGUGUCCAGCACUAAACUACAGCCCUAUAAUUUAUAUAAAUGUCAUGGUACCAUGGGCAUCAACUGUUAGUUUGUCCUGAUCGGUAGCAUUCUAAAUGCCCCCUUUACAUACAGAAAAGGUAUGGGGAAAUCCAAUGAUUCUUCACCACAUAAUAAGUUCAUGUCAAAUUCCAGGAGACCGGGUAAGAAGCUGCUAUUUCACAUACUCCAAGUUUUAGAAUUUCUUAGGAUUUGCAUCUUUACACAUAACAUUUGGGCCUCACUUUGCUAUACACCCAUUUGCAGAAAAUGUAAGAAUAAGCCAUGAGAAGAAACUCCAUCCCACAGGAGAGCCACCCUGGUGCAGCACUGCCAGCAGGGACAUGCUCUACACUCAUUUCACGCCCUCCCGGCUGCUGUGGGAGAUUCUCCUCUUUCUAGGUAACAGAUGGCAAAGUGGAACCUAGCAGGCUUGGUGGCAUCGCCACGUUAGUCAGGAUGGAGAAGAGUGAGAAUCCACACUGCCUCCAGAGCCUCUCAGCACCCCAGGUCAGUAUCAGGAUGACCAGCGUCAUGGCCCCUCACAUCCCAAGUCCUUGGCCGCAGGCGUGGCUGGGCGUGAAUGAGUGUAUUCUCCACGCUCUGCCUCCAGGCAGGGACUCAUUUAGGUGUUUGAGGGCCGGCCAAUGUCUGGCAUAGGCACGGAACAGGCAUCUGAGUGAAGGUCUAGUUCCAGUACCCUGGGCAGCUGCAAGCCAGAUGGGCACCGUGACUCCCCGCCUGCUGGGACCUCCCUCCACACUCUGUGCACCUUCCUGCCAGUGGUUUCCUGUGAGAUGACCCUUUCCUUUGAGCCUCUCCUCAGAGUCUCCUCCAACACUCCCCAUGGGUUUCCUGCAUCUUUCCCCUGUUGGGCCUCUGUUCUCCUCGAUGCCCCGCCCCCGGCAUCUGGCAGAGUUUCCCCUCUUACUGUCAAUCUGCAGUUUCUUCGGAGUCCUUCCUCAAAGGCCGACUGUCCUGAAUCUGUGUGGACUCCCCAGACUUCAGUGUUCCUGCCUGUUCCUCUCCUGGCAGCUCCAUCAGCGUGGCGUAGUGUGGCCUCAGGACCAGCGAGGAGGAGAUCUGGACAGCCUGGCUCGGUCCAAAAGGCAGACAAGAAAUGUGACGCACCCACUCAGUGUGAACAGCUACAGGUCUCAGUACCGCCUGCCUUCCCGUCUUCUCACACUCCUAUCCCAGAAAGCAUCAAGUACGCUGGAGUGAAUGCAGAUCCCACAGGAAUGUAUUAAAUGAUCUCACCUUGUAUGCCCUCGGGAGGCCAAGACCUCAGGAUACCUGUAUAUGCUGAGCACUGGAUGGCUGACAGCAAAUGCAUCCCUUGUGGGUGUGGACAGGAGAAGCCAAUUUGGUCUACUGUGCUGCAGUGUGGAUGAACCCUCAAGCCUGAAACGUAGCAAGUUUAGAAUACAGGACUCACAGACCUCGGGCCAGGGACCCUUGUGGAGGUUCCACAUGAGCCAGCUCUGUGUGAAACAACCCAGGGCUCAGAAGCCCAACAGUGUGGAUAACCAAAGACAGAUGAGAAGUCAGUCUCUGUCUCUCUGUCUCUGUCUCUGUCUCUGUCUCUGUCUCUGUCUCUCUCUCUCUCUCUCUCUCUCUCUCUCUCUCUCUCCCCCAGCACUGUAGCCUGUUGCCCUGUGCACACAAGAUCAGCAGCUCUGGCCUGGCAGCUUUUUCCCCUCCUGAAGUGCAAUGACAUGUUCACCUCUGGAGGGCAACGUGGGGACACAAGCAGAGGUGACUGCAGUGCCCAGAUGCCCUCUGACCCAGAACUUCAUUUGGGCCUGGGCCUCAGAGCACUCAGUGAGAUAGACAUGCGUAUGAACCCCAGGCAAAUGACCAUCCCUGAGAGGUCUGUGCCACCCCGAGGCCACACAGCUAGUUCCUAAGUCCAGAUGCCCUCACACUGGGUCUUGUCCACCUCAAGACAGUCUCACUAUGGGACAGACAAAUGGCAGGAGGGGGAGCACUGUGCAUGUGUCACACACACGUGUGAAGCAUUAUCAGUUGUCAACUGAUCUAGGAAAAUGUACUACACAGACAAAGCUGCAACCUGGCACAAGUGUGACUCACCACCCGGUGACAAACCUGUUACUAGAACAGGAUGAGACCUUCCAAAUGCUUAGUGUGAGUCUAACAUUCUGUUAGAAAGUUGAGUGGCGGGGUUGGGGAUUUAGCUCAGUGGUAGAGCGUUUACCUAGAAAGUGCAAGGCCCUGGAUUCGGUCCUCAGCUCCGAAAAAAGAAAGAAAAAAAAAAAGAAGAAAGUGAGUGGCCUUGGGCAGGCUCCCAUCUUAAGGGGUGCCAUGAAAUGCAGAACUAAAUUCAUUUUGCAUUUCUUCAGAAGAAAGAGGCACACCAAGGACUUGGGGUACCGCUCUCCUGCAGAAUAGUCUAACUUGCUCAGGCCUGGCUUCUGUCUUAUCACCGUAAACCACAACUAACAACCACGAACGCCAUGGGCUAGUCUGCACUGUUAUGCCAUCUGUAUACAAUGGUGCUUCUUUCUAUCGCAAAUUGCUUGCUUUUGUAUUUGAAGGAUUUUCACUCUUCUCUAGCCUUCUGAACCUAUGGAAAGAUGCUAAGUGUGUAUUCUGAACGUCCCUGAGACUCUGGCCCUAAUACAAGCCUUGUUCCAGCACCGUCAGCUAGCUCGACGUAUCUGUCCCAGAGGAAAGUCCCCGGGCUUCUGAUUGGCUAGAAACCUCAAGGAUACCAAUCAAUACAUAUAUUUUUUUUUCUACUUCUGAGAAAACAUUAAGUUCUAUGAACAUCAGAAGACCUACAUUUUGCUAAUUUAUCAUAGUGGAUCUGAUUUUCCAAACACCAGCAGGUUGUUUCCUCCCUCAGUAACAGAUGAGAAAGCAGCACUGUGUCAGUGAGGCGUCUGUAUUAGUGUGUUCAAACUUGUCGUCAGUUGAACAAUGAACCCAAAAUAAGUAACUUGGAAACCUCAAAAGAGAUACUUGCAAAUCAUAUACCUGAUGUCUCUGUGCUAACACAAACACCCCACUACUAAACAACAGGGAGAUCCGAAUAGACAUUUCUCCAAAGAAGACUCAACAUCAU
Rattus norvegicus (Norway rat) is the source of this 10092-nucleotide non-coding RNA. Lineage: Eukaryota; Metazoa; Chordata; Mammalia; Rodentia; Muridae. The record is from RefSeq and is a predicted model, not a curated record.